This 253-nucleotide ribosomal RNA is filed under the name uncultured bacterium. RNAcentral describes it as "partial 16S ribosomal RNA". It matches the Rfam family "Bacterial small subunit ribosomal RNA", at positions 524 to 776 of the family's 1533-position model. The record is from RNAcentral.
UACGAAGGGGGCUAGCGUUGCUCGGAAUCACUGGGCGUAAAGCGCGCGUAGGCGGAUUGUUAAGUCAGGGGUGAAAUCCUGGAGCUCAACUCCAGAACUGCCUUUGAUACUGGCGAUCUUGAGUCCGGGAGAGGUGAGUGGAACUGCGAGUGUAGAGGUGAAAUUCGUAGAUAUUCGCAAGAACACCAGUGGCGAAGGCGGCUCACUGGCCCGGUACUGACGCUGAGGUGCGAAAGCGUGGGGAGCAAACAGG